Molecule: non-coding RNA, 172 nt
Filed under: Candidatus Gottesmaniibacteriota
Lineage: Bacteria
Description: Candidatus Gottesmanbacteria GlcN6P sequence
Rfam family: glmS glucosamine-6-phosphate activated ribozyme aptamer
About the family: This entry contains a glucosamine-6-phosphate activated ribozyme that is found in the mRNA for GlmS. GlmS is an enzyme that uses fructose-6-phosphate and glutamine to generate glucosamine-6-phosphate.
Source: RNAcentral
UGGAUAUUUAAAGCGUGUGGCCCGCCUGCAAACGAAGUUUUGCGGCGAGGAUACGAGGAAAGGGACAUUCGAAUUAUUCUGCGGAUACCCUUUGGUAGCACUCUCUACCACAACUUUAAUCGGAUAAACCGUAUCGGUAACGGUACGUCUAAAUAAUUAAGGAAAGAGUCCG